This 2631-nucleotide long non-coding RNA is filed under the name Marmota monax (woodchuck). Lineage: Eukaryota; Metazoa; Chordata; Mammalia; Rodentia; Sciuridae. The record is from RNAcentral.
AGGAAGGGCAAGCAUGAUUGACAGGUGCCGCAGUCUGGCUGGGCACAAAUCACCAAGCCGCCACAAAGCACUUGUAUCUUCAAACAGGAAACUUUAUUGCCUGAACUCCAACAGCACCCCACGCACACUCCCCAGGAACUCUCCCGAAUGCCACCCACGCGGCUCUUCUCUGGCACACCAACCGGAACCCACCAGGAACCCCAUGAGAACUCAACGGGAACUACAAAGUAGCAGCGCCCCCCCCCCAGGCGGACAGCAGGGCUCUAUAUACAAUUGAAUCAAUCCAGCAUCAUCUUAUUGGCUCGCCUCUCAACCAUUACUUCUGGCAAAAUGCCAGGGGCCAUUCCAACUCGGCAGUGGCUCUCAACAAACAGGCGGCCGACUUGGAGUUCUAGGUUUGCUGCACUCUGGUGAGGCUUCGAGAAGCUUGCCGACCUUCAAGCCGAACGUACAGCCUGUGAAGUGCUAUGCUUUACAGGUUCUCUCCUGGUGGGGAAGUGGACUCUGAGAGAUGACCAAGCCCUCCUGUCCCGUUUCUCGGGGAUGCUGAGCUACCUUUUAGAACAGAAGGCAGAGAGGCAAAGCGGGUGAGGACAGAGCCUGUCAGUGCACACGCCUCUGCUGUGGUCAGGUCCUGUGAGCUGUUAGACCCCUUCAGGGGAGAGUCCCCUCCAUUUACAUCAGGGGGAAGAACCCAGGAGGGACCAGCCACUGGUCAAAGCCACAUUCAGUGUCACCUGGGAAGAGACGGAAAGCAGUGGCCUCACACUGGAAGGCAAGGGAGUGAAAGCUGUUGGUUUCCUGUGUGACAAGCCCUGAUCCUUGGGGUGUCCAAACACGGCCUUGAGUGUGGCGGGGUUCUCACAAUUUGGGGUAUGACUGGUAGACCAAAGACCUUUUCCUCCUAUAAGUGUGAUAUAAUUUUACUCCCUAGAAGGUGUGGCAGGGGGAACUUUUUUCAGUCCAAAAUAUCUGUCAAGAACAAUUUUAGAGGAGAACAAGUUUCCUUAGGGAUGAGGACUUCAGAGGUCUUCGUCCAUAGAUGGCCAACACCACAGCUGUGCUGGAGGGGGGCCGAGGCUUGGCCAAAGGGCGCAGCUGAGGACAUGACAACCAGAAGGCAGAGAGAGACUAAGCUGGCUCUCCAGGGACAAAUUAUACCCCAAAUGCACGCCCCCAGGGAACCACCUUCUCUAGCCACACCCUACGGGCCGGGCCUACAGUCACAAGCCAAGUUAAUCCAUUCAAGUGGAUUUAUGCACUGCUUGGGUCAGUCCUCUCAUAACCCAGUGCUUUCACCUCCAAACUUUUUUGCAUUGUCUCACACUUGAGCUUUCCGGGGACCCCUCACAUCUGAACUCUAGCAGGAACAUCUUACAUUUAUAUCAGAUUUUGACUGAUCCUUUAACAAACACUUGGGAAUAAUGAUCCAUGGCCACGGAAGGCGAUCAGCAGAAUCCUGGGCCUCUAAGAACUGCUGUGAUCCUCUCAGCCCAACAUGACUGACCUGCUCAAAAUUCAGGGAGUGGACUUGCAGCUGACCUCUUCUUCCUUUCUUAGGACGUGACCACACUCUCCAGUGUCUGACUGCUGAUUCUCACUGCCAAUGGUGUGAGGGUGUUGGAUGCUCUGCCACCAUCUGCAAACUCUCAGUCACGGCACUGUCACGACAGUGACCUCUGGCUUUGAACCUGAAUGCCUCCACCAGACCAACUCCUCCUGGGGCAGCCUUGCCACCCCAGGAUUCCACAGAUACUUGUCUCCAUGCAAGUGUGAAUUCCACGGUAUGCGUCCAUUGCAGUGUCGGUCAACAUGGGUCAUUCCUGGGUGUGGAAGAUAUAAAAGAUGCCAGAAGGCGAAGAAAUUGUUUUUUAAAAAGAAACAAGAAAAAAAAUAUUGAUUCCUGGAAGAAAAGACUUGUCAAGGCAAUUUCUUGCAAGAGCAAACCCUUCAUUAGAAAUCAAGUUAGAGCUAAUUUUGAAGGAGCAGAUAGAUGUCUCCUGGCAUUUCCUAUUGUCGCAUCAUAUAUGGCACAUAUAGAUAAGAGCGAUUGUUUUCAGUCCCAUUUGUAUUAAAAGAAAGCUAACCAACUGAGGAAAAUCAAAUGUAAUUAGUUUUACCUAAAUUGUAGGUUUUCAGAGCAAUUAAUAAAACUGAAUGUUGAAAGCUGCUUGUUAAGCAAAUCAAAGAUCAAGGAAUAUAUUUUCUUUAUUAAAUGUCACUCCUAUGUAAACCAACCUACACAAAUCAUUUUGAAAUACAGCACAUGCGAAACUGGAAUAUUUCGCUGCAGUACUACUUAGGCAAUCCACAGACUGUCUCGAUGCCAACCACAAUGUGAAGUGGCUACUCCGUGUCCACUUCUGACCGCUGAACAGGUAGGAGGCACAGCGGCCGACUCUGGGUCCACUCAGCUUUUCCCCGUCCCCACGGACAGGAACAAAUGCUUCACCACUGGAGCCUGGCUCUCGCUGUCCAUAAAACUAGUCUUGAUUUGGACCCAUGGAGCAGGAGGAAUUCCUGUGACGUCACAUGUAAGGCAUUUAGUGCACUGCUAUUCCCAGGGCCUAAGCCCAGUAGAUGCUGGGGACCAUCACUGCAUUCAUGCCAUUUUGGUUGGGCUGAUAGGAU